Molecule: ribosomal RNA, 254 nt
Filed under: uncultured bacterium
Lineage: Bacteria
Description: partial 16S ribosomal RNA
Rfam family: Bacterial small subunit ribosomal RNA
Source: RNAcentral
UACGUAGGGUGCGAGCGUUGUCCGGAUUUAUUGGGUUUAAAGGGUGCGUAGGCGGGAGAGUAAGUUCGCUUUUAAAGCCGGCCGCUUAACGGUCAGGUAGGGGGCGGAUACUGCUUUUCUUGAGAGGGCUCGGGGCUGGCGGAAUUUGUGGUGUAGCGGUGAAAUGCAUAGAUACCACAAGGAACACCGAUCGCGUAGGCAGCCGGCCAGGGCCUUUCUGACGCUGAGGCACGAAAGUGCGGGGAGCAAACAGG